AAAAACAUGAAUACAGUAUUUCAGUCAUUUUCCAAUAAAAUCAUUUCCAAACAUAAUGUUUUAAUUAGCUAGGCUAGUUUCUUCACAGAAUUUGCAGCUUUCUCCUUGUACAGCAUGAUCAAAUUGUACAAACCACCCUUCCUACUCGUGAUGUGCACAUCCUUCAGGCUCCUGUCAGAUGAGAGUGUGUGAAGAGAAAUGCAAUUCGUUUCAUGGUUUGAGUGCUUUUUGGCUGAAGACAAGCAUAACAGUGGCGGUUUCAUUAGAAGACAUCACAUGAGAGAAGGAGUGAGCUGCGCCUGAGCAGCAGCCACCAUGGGGUGUGCGCCCUCCAGAUCCCCCUGCCACUAUCACGACCCCCAGCCGCACAGAGAUGCCCGGGACCUGGACACCUGCUCCACCUUCAUCUCCAGCCUGAAAAGCUCCUCUUCCACCCCGGAGAGGCCACUGUGCAGCCCUGCCGCCCAGCCACAGCCGGAGUCCCGGAAAUCCUUCCUCGGGGUUCCUUGCAGUGACCAUCAUGGACACCCACUGGUCCAGCCCCUGACCCCUGAGCCGGGGCAGUGCCAGCUUACAGACAGAAGGCUCAGUGGCACGGAGGCACCUGAUGAAGAAAAGUAAGCCCAGCCUGAACUGAUACCAUUCUGUCGGCUCUGCAGCAGGACCUGUCUCGCUGGGAGACCUCUCAGAUGCAAACACACACUGGAGGACCUGCCUUUCCACAUCUCGAGAGCUAUCAGCCCAGCGAAUUCUACAGCAGUGUGAGACAGGGUGUUCCUCCACGAGGAAGAAACAAGUCCUCAUGCUAAGACUUGUUUCAAAACAACAAUAUAUCAUUUUGUUUCAUGAUAAAGAAUGUUAGUGUGGAGUGGUGGGUUACAUCGACAUGUAUCAGUACAACAUUUAUAUAUUAGCAAUUCCAUAUUAAUACAUUUCUACAUGCAGCACAUGUGAAAUAGGACUAAAACAGUACAGCUGAUUUACUAACACUUUCGGUUAUUUAAUUUCAGUUAAAGUCUUACUGAAUACAUUGGUGUUUUGUCUUGUAAAUAUCCAAUAAUUUAGUUCAGGUGGGAGCUGUGUCAGCAUGCGUAGGCUGCAAAGGAACAAGUAACAGAUUUAUUCCAUGCUGAAAAAAAGAAGAAAGAGAACACAACGUAAUUUCCAUUUCCUGCAUUGAGAAAGCACGAUGACAAUCAUUUAUAAAAUAUAUGAGAAAUCAAAGGACAUUUAUUAUUAGAAGCAUUACGCAAUUUUGGGGAUCAAGUGGUAUCUGACUUACAUGUAUAUACAGUAUGAAUUAAUUGUAUUUGAUUUGAAUGAGCUGUUAUGUUCUGCACCUCUCUGCAGCUGGUAAAUGAAGAACGCUCAACAGCCAAAAUGGAGUAUCUACUUUUCGACAAAUAAUUAAACUAACCUUUAUCAUCUCUUCCUUGUUCAUUCGCAUCUUUAAUGUAUCCAGCAGUUCAGAAAAGGCUUCAGCUGUUACAGUGGAUUUUAAAGACGAAUUGGUUAACUUGGAGACCAAGUCCGUUCAAAAACUUAAACCAACUUGGACACAACUCAUAAAUAACAGCUAUCUCAAUGCACUCAGACAAUAUACUGUACAUUGAUACGAAGAAGGAAUGACGAAGAGUGGAUGACUUGAGUAUAGAGAGGGCUUUCAUUUCGGAUAAUUCUCUAAAAAGAGCAGAUCUAAUAUCACUUACCAAUAAUAACUGAAA
RNAcentral lists this long non-coding RNA (1724 nucleotides) under Lepisosteus oculatus (spotted gar). Its description in RNAcentral is "lncRNA (ENSLOCG00000022452.1)". Lineage: Eukaryota; Metazoa; Chordata; Actinopteri; Semionotiformes; Lepisosteidae. The record is from RNAcentral.